AGAGUUUGAUCCUGGCUCAGGAUGAACGCUAGCGACAGGCUUAACACAUGCAAGUCGAGGGGGCGAGCACAGGUAGCAAUACCGGGUGGCGACCGGCGCACGGGUGAGUAACGCGUAUGCAACUUACCUAUCAGAGGGGGAUAACCCGGGCGAAAGUCGGACUAAUACCGCAUGAAGCCAGGGGUCCCGCAUGGGGGAUAUUUGCUAAAG
This 210-nucleotide ribosomal RNA is filed under the name uncultured bacterium. Its description in RNAcentral is "partial 16S ribosomal RNA". It matches the Rfam family "Bacterial small subunit ribosomal RNA", at positions 8 to 206 of the family's 1533-position model. The record is from RNAcentral.